GCUCUACCCCUUUUGUCCAUUUCAGUUAAUCACUGGUGUCCCUCCAAGUUCAUCUCCACCCUGGCAGCAUCUUCUGCUUGAAGAUUCUAGUAAGAACCAGCAGUCUCCCCAGGGCCUUUGACCACUCUCUGGAAAAAAACCAAGUAGACAACAUGGCCUCCCCCACACCACUGCCCACCAUCUCUUCUAUGCUGAAGAAGGAUCCCACAGGGCUAAGAAAACCUGGGAGCUGCCAUGAUGCCUAGAAGCCUUUAGAAUGUGGGUGCCCAAAAGACCAUCCUUCACAUAUGAAACCCUGUGAUCAUGACUCACAGUGACUGAGGGUUCCACUGAGGAGGCUUCUGGGACAGCUGAGCUCUUCUUCACAUAGCACCUGUCAUCAGUGGCUAAGGCUUCAGGCCCCUUCCUGACACUACGUAUGACUUUGUUCCUUGGAGAUGCCUGUUAUCCAGUCUACAUGCCCAUUGAUGUCAUGGACCUUGGCUUCUGGUUGUGUGCUCCUGUUGCCUUUGGGUACCUUGCUUUGGUGCACAGACCAAGUUGCAGAGUGGAGAUGAUAAUAUCUGACCUAUUACAGACUUGUUUGAGUAUUAAAGAAAAUCAAUACAAACGGAACUCCAAGAAAUAAAAGAUACUCCAUAAAUAUAAUAGAAUGGAUUUCCCUUUACACUGACAGGUAAAAUGAAACACUGAGUUUACUCUCAUACCCCCAUACCCCACCAGGAGGUCUACUUGCUGAGGGUCCCUUUCUGGAGCAGGUGUGCAGUUGUCUUUAUGAUGCUAUCAGAAGUUGUCUUGCAUUUAGAGGGGGACAAGGAGAGAGCUCUGCGAAUUUGAACACUGGAAGCCUUCCAUUCGGCCCCAAAUGCUGGCAGCCCUCUCACAAUCGAAACUUAUGUCAAAGUGGCCACAAGAUUGUUUAAUAGGAGACGGACAAAUGUAACUCCAUGUUUACUGCUAGAAACCAAAGCUUUGUGUGAAAUCUUGAAUUUAUGGGGAGGGAGGGUAGGAAAGCCUGUACUUGUCUGUUCUUUUCCUGAUCCCUUCCCCUUAUUCCUGAACUGCAGGAGACUGAGCCCCCUUGGGCUUUGGUGACCCCAUCCUGGGGUAUGUUUAUUUGAUGGUUGAUUUUGCUGUACUGGGUACUUCCUUUCCCAUUUUCUAAUCAUUUUGUAGCACACAUGCUGACUCUUUUCCCUUCCUUUCUACUUUCCCUGGGAAAAUACAAUGAAUAAAGACUUAUUGGUACUGAAAAAAAAAAAAAUUUAAAUGCCCAGAUGAUCUCACAGGUCUUUUCUACCUCUGAAACAGAGCGUGUGAUUCACAUAUAUCUGACAUGUGUAACAGGUUGUGAUGAUUUGCCUCAUUUGCUCAGCUGCAAAGUGGAUUAACCAGCAAUAAUAUGCUGAGAAUGUAAAGCCUGACCUCUGAUUAAAACAGAAGGUGGGAGGAGGUUGUUUCCCGGUUAAAACAAUGAACUAUGACCCAAGGCUCUAAGUUUCUAAUCACAGAUCUGUAACCUUGUAGUGACAUUGGGAGGCUUGCUAGAGGCCUUCAAAAGUACCCUUAAUUUGCACAUACUGGCUACCUGUCCUUAAAAACAUUAGAGUAAGUCCUUUUUCUGAGAACAAUGUGGGUGGUCAUUAAUGGUUAAUAAUGCUAAAGAGAGAACCAUCAGUAAAGACUCCUGAAUGCCCAUGAUGCUUUAAGCAAUAUUCAGGCUAUUACCUAACAAUGCUAGCAAAAUGCAAAUCCCCUAGUUUCCAGAAAAUCUUUUUUCUGGAAUGUAUUGCUUUUCCCCUUCAAGUUAAUCAUCAACCCUCUCCAGCACUGUCCAACAGACUUUCCACAACAAUGGAAACAGUCUCUAUUUACUCUGUCCAGUAGUAGCCAUCAUGUGUGGCUAUUGGUCACCUAUGUGGCUAAUGAGGCUUAGGAAUUCAAUUUUACAUUUAAUUUUAAUUAAUUGAAAUGAAUAUGAAAAUAGCUACAUGUGGCUAGUGGCUACUGUACCGGACAGCACAGCUUUAGCCAAUUCAAACCUCCUAAAAGCAAGAAAGUAAGGCUGAGAAGGCAGUAGCAAGUAAAUUAACAAUUCAUUAGCCAGUCUUUAUCUUCAAAAUAGUUUUUUUCUUCUUUUUUUCAAGUUGGUGGGUGUAGUUGACAUCAGGGUCUAAAGCAAGAGAGUACCAAUAAUAAUAAUUUUUCCCCACACUUCUGUAUUGUCUCCUUCUCUUUCACAGGUAUUAAAAUGAGAAGACACCUAAACUCAUUAACAAAAUAACUAAGCUAGACUGCUUUCAUCUAAACCAACACUUUUCUAUACAAACCUGUGAAAAUAAACCAGUAAGAUAAGGUUCAAGAGAAGCAUCAGCCUCACUCUGUCCUAGUCCCAGAUCACCCACAAGGAGUCCCACAGGCACGUCCUCUGCCAUGGUUUCUCUGUCAUAAGCUCUGCUGCUGCUCCCGGCUCCGUCCCCCCUAUAGCUCAGCGCCAAGCUGCAACCCCACGCACACAGAGCAAGAGGAGAGUGAAAAUCACAAACCAAAUGUGCUCUCUCCCUUUCCCUCCAGAUGAGAGUGUCUUUUCUUUUUCACCUCUUUCCUGUAAAUUCUGCGACAAGAAACUGCAGUACAUAAUACACAAAAACGCAGAGCUCUUCCCUCACUGACUUCCCACAGCAUUCGCAUGGCCCAAGAAGGACAUGAACGAAUGGAGGCUGUCUUCCUCAAUCUACGUCCUCACCCAUGAAGACUGCACUUACUCAAACUCUACACGGCAUAAAAAUACUACUUCCUGCACGUCUUUGUGUAUUAUCGCCCUGUGCUUCGUACAUAUUUUUUCCUGAACAGUGCAUUUUUCAGGUAUUCUAAGCUCUAACGGAAGAGGUGUUUGGUCACUGUAAUUCCCCUUGUGCACUGCCCGGCGCAGUGUCAGAUGCAGCUAGGGGAGUAACCAACGCUUCCUGAUAGUGGAUAAAAGACUCAAUGGGAUUUUUACAGCUCUUGGAUUUUAAGACACUUUUUUCAGUUCAACAUAUUCCAGAAAAUAAUUGUAUCAUUUCCCUUAUAGGAUUUGUUGAGAGGAGUGAAUUAGGCUUGGUUAUUUUGGAAAAGGACUUCAGAAUCAAUCAUGUAUUUUUCAAGUUGGAUGCCACGAUUAUUCAAAGGCUAGGAAAACAGUCCUGAACUCAGCCAGUAGCUGUACUAUUGGCACGAGAGGAAGACAGAUAGUGUGACAAAUAAAUACACUUUUGGUCUCACUUUUUUCAAAUGUGAAAUAGAAUAAAAAUCCUUAUUCAUGAAA
Microcebus murinus (gray mouse lemur) is the source of this 3307-nucleotide non-coding RNA. Lineage: Eukaryota; Metazoa; Chordata; Mammalia; Primates; Cheirogaleidae. The record is from RefSeq and is a predicted model, not a curated record.